ACAUUAGAGUAGAAAUGUCUUCAAAAUGCCCCUGGUUCUCUAACAAAUGUCUACGAAGAGCUCUGAGAGCUGAACCUCGGGAGGUAAUUACCUCUCCCUUUGGGGGUCUGUCUGUCUGUAGGCGUGACUGAAGGCACAGAGGGCUCAGCCUUGGCCCCUUCCUCUUACUCACGUCAGAGGCCUGGGCAAGAUAUGGGGUACCUGCGAGGCUCCAUUUUCUCGUUCGUGAAGUGAAGGGAAUUUGUUCCCUACUUGAAGGAGCUUGUUGUGAUUGAGAUAAUGCAUGUGUGGCUCUCGCACGUUAAGAGCUUGAUUCAUGAGAGCUCGGAUUACGGGGGUUGUUGGCCUCGCGAAAGAAUCAACUGGGCUGGCGACAAGGAAACCCACAGCACUACCACCCGCCAGCGCAGCAUUAAUGCAAACGCAAAGAGCCCUCCUGUGGCUCCUCCCCACGUGUUUCCUAAAUGUCCCAGUAAGGACACAGGACUCCGCAGCUGCUCUGACUGUGUGCCGGGCACCGAGCUGACAGCAGGUGGACAAGCUGUCCAGGGCUCACGCUGAGAGCCUAGCACCCCCAAGCCCCGCAGGGCUGGGCAAACCAGGAUGGCUCGCCAGCUAAGCAGAGAGCCUUGCAGCCAUUUAAUCUGCAAAGUGACCUUUCGGGAGAAGUGCUUCGGUUCCUAUUUUACAGGAUUUAACCCUCUUUGGGCAAACAAUGGACCAAACGGAGCCAGAGAACUGAUGAUGCCAAUUCUUGCUGGCCCCCAGGACUUUGAUCCACCAGGACCCCAGGAUUUCGACCCUCCAGAUCCGUGGGACUUUGAUCCAUCAGGACCUGGACUCUGUCAACUUACUGGGUGACUUGUGCCCCAAUUCUAGACUUCCCUUGCCACGCCCGUCACGAAUGUGCAUGCAUCUUUAGCUUAAAACUUGCCCAAUUUUGUUGUUCGGGGUGGGGAGGGCACCGUUUGGGGAAAAAUCCCCAGUAGACUCCCUAUUUGUUGCACGCAAACCACUUCCUGAUCCCAGGGUCUGGCUUGGUUGUGUCUUUUGGCCCCACUUCUGCCAAGAGACGAACCCACUUUCAGGUGGCACCUUCUCAUUUUCACUCAGCCUUUAUUUCAUUGCCAAAUUCUCACUUGUUAAGAGAUGCUCUUCCAGACCUCCUUGUUUAGGUCAACGUCCUCCCUCCUAAGGCUCUUUCUUGUAUUUUCAUAGCACGUCAUGUGGCUGUUAACUGACAUUUAUUUAUAGGCUAUUUUGAGUGAGUGCAUGAGACUGAGUGUGUGAGUGUGUGUGAGUAUGUGUGAGUGUGUGUGUGAGCGUCUGUCCCCCACUGGAACUUACACUGACUGCAGACAGGCAGGCACCACGUGUGAUGUUUUAUUUCAUCUGUUCUACUUCGUCUUACUAAUCACUGUAUCCCCAGCACACAGAGGGGUCUGAUUCAAUUUUUGCUUUUGUUUUGGUUGACUGGUUUGUUUUGAAUGAGGCGAGGAGUCUUGCCCGGGGUGGGUCAACGUGAAUUAGGUUCUCAAGUCACACAGCACCAAGGAAGACACUUAACUCAGGUUCCCUCCCCACCUCCAACUUCCCUAUGCCAGGAAGCCUAGCAGGCUGCAUGGCCUUUGGGCAGAAAGUUCCGGCACCUUAUGCAUCAUGCUCACGAAUCUCGGGCAGCCACUGGGUGUUGGUUCCUACCACCGUUUCCACGUCGUUCCUGAAAGUUGUUGCAUCAUCCUCAGAAGGUUUUCUGGCUCAAAGUGGUGGUUAAGAUGCAAAACUAUUCCCGGGGCUGGAACCAGCCCCUCUGAGCUGCUGGCCAAAACACCAAGGUUUGUACCAGGCCAGUUAAAGGCAACAGGCAGACCUUCUUCACGUGUAGCUGAUCCUGGAGUAUGGAGCUUGAACAGAAUCCAUUGUCAUCUGUCUUUCGUUUUUGUUUCUGUUGUUGUAUGCUUGUUUUCGUCUAAACGUUUAAAACUUCUACUUUCGCCAAAAAGCAACAUGAUGCCCGUGUUUAAAGCAAAGAGGAAUAAAAUCUCAGAUUCUCAAGGGUUCUGUACAAAUGCCAGUUUAUAAGGCAUGUACGUGUCUUGGGAAAGUCACUUGAUCUCA
Herpailurus yagouaroundi (jaguarundi) is the source of this 2118-nucleotide long non-coding RNA. RefSeq lists it as uncharacterized. The transcript is spliced from 2 exons. Lineage: Eukaryota; Metazoa; Chordata; Mammalia; Carnivora; Felidae. The record is from RefSeq and is a predicted model, not a curated record.